Long non-coding RNA from Lingula anatina, 688 nucleotides. The record is from RefSeq and is a predicted model, not a curated record. NCBI's taxonomy places the organism in Eukaryota, Metazoa, Brachiopoda, Lingulata, Lingulida, Lingulidae.
UGAUCCAGAUCGUUUCUCAGCAGAUGCUAAGGCUGAUCUCCCAUUGUUUUGUUUUGAACCGUUUGGAUUUGCUGGCCGCAGAAGAUGCCCAGGAUUCAAAUAUACAUACAUAGAAAUCUGCUCUGUCGUGGCAGUGCUGCUACAAAAAUUCACAGUGCACAUGGUGGAAGGUAUAGUGGCGACACCUAUUUACGGAUUGGUGACCCACCCUGAAGACGAAGUCUGGGUGACUGUCAGUAAGAGGAAAUAAAUCAACAUGAAUCUCAGGAAUGUGGUCCAUCGUUUUCAACUUGUGAUUUUUUGAAGUGGUAGUGGUGUCCCCUUAAAAUUACAUCCAUGAAAGAAGAGGCAAAAAAGAAAUGGGGAAUGAACAACCUGAAGUUGCAAAAACGUAAUGUAAUAAUACAAUGCAGUUGCCAAAUGUGCUUUUUGAGCCUGCAUUUUUUGACUUGAGAGGGAGUAUCUAACACAGCUGUGGAAAGAAAAUUGUUCUAUAUAUCUUUAAAAGAUGUAGGAGAUAAGAAGUUCUAAAACAAGACGACCCUGUCGGAUUCUAAAGCUGGCUAUAUUGCAUUGCACCAGUGCAAUUAAAACAAAAAUGGAGUUUAUUUUUUGCUUAUACUAGUAUUACGAUAAUUGCUGUAAGUUAUACUGAUGGUAAGAUAGUGAAGCAUUGCCAUUUUAUUCA